This 254-nucleotide ribosomal RNA is filed under the name uncultured bacterium. RNAcentral describes it as "partial 16S ribosomal RNA". It matches the Rfam family "Bacterial small subunit ribosomal RNA", at positions 524 to 776 of the family's 1533-position model. The record is from RNAcentral.
UACGUAGGGUGCGAGCGUUGUCCGGAAUUAUUGGGCGUAAAGAGCUCGUAGGCGGUCUGUCGCGUCGGUCGUGAAAACUUGGGGCUUAACCCUGAGCUUGCGGUCGAUACGGGCAUGACUGGAGUUCGGUAGGGGAGACUGGAAUUCCUGGUGUAGCGGCGAAAUGCGCAGAUAUCAGGAGGAACACCGGUGGCGAAGGCGGGUCUCUGGGCAACAACUGACGCUGAGGAGCGAAAGCGCGGGGAGCGAACAGG